GGGAUUAAGGUCUCGUUGGUGACCAGCGGAGGGAUCAUUACCGAGUUUACAACUCCCAAACCCCUGUGAACAUACCUAUACGUUGCCUCGGCGGAUCAGCCCGCGCCCUGUAAAAAGGGACGGCCCGCCCGAGGACCCUAAACUCUGUUUUUAGUGGAACUUCUGAGUAAAACAAACAAAUAAAUCAAAACUUUCAACAACGGAUCUCUUGGUUCUGGCAUCGAUGAAGAACGCACCAAAAUGCGAUAAGUAAUGUGAAUUGCAAAAUUCAGUGAAUCAUCGAAUCUUUGAACGCACAUUGCGCCCGCCAGUAUUCUGGCGGUAAUGCCUGUUCGAGCGUCAUUUCAACCCUCAAGCUCAGCUUGGUGUUGGGACUCGCGGUAACCCGCGUUCCCCAAAUCGAUUGGCGGUCACGUCGAGCUUCCAUAGCGUAGUAAUCAUACACCUCGUUACUGGUAAUCGUCGCGGCCACGCCGUAAAACCCCAACUUCUGAAUGUUGACCUCGGAUCACGCAGGAAUACCCGCUGAACAUAAGCGGAUGAAAAAGCGGAGGAA
RNAcentral lists this ribosomal RNA (556 nucleotides) under Fusarium incarnatum. Its description in RNAcentral is "eukaryotic LSU rRNA". The stretch from base 189 to 342 matches the Rfam family "5.8S ribosomal RNA". Lineage: Eukaryota; Fungi; Ascomycota; Sordariomycetes; Hypocreales; Nectriaceae. The record is from RNAcentral.